AAUGGUUUAAGAGAGCUUUCUUCAGUCCACUCAUGGACGGGCGAAGGGUUUGGAUUAGCUGCCGACUCAUUCAUUCAAACACAGUAGAAAUUAAGGGAGCAGUAUGGCUGCUAUUGUGAAUGUGUGAAUGAUGCGGGAGAUAAAUUUCAUCCUUUUCUUCUCUGUGCUUGGACUGAAGGGAGCUCCCUUUAAUCGUUUA
Molecule: non-coding RNA, 199 nt
Organism: Populus trichocarpa (black cottonwood)
Lineage: Eukaryota; Viridiplantae; Streptophyta; Magnoliopsida; Malpighiales; Salicaceae
Source: Rfam